CCUACGGGGUGCAGCAGUGAGGAAUAUUGGUCAAUGUCCGAGAGGCUGAACCAGCCAAGUCGCGUGAGGGAAGACGGCCCUACGGGUUGUAAACCUCUUUUGUCGGGGAGCAAAGCGAGUCACGUGUGACUCAUUGAGAGUACCCGAAGAAAAAGCAUCGGCUAACUCCGUGCCAGCAGCCGCGGUAAUACGGAGGAUGCGAGCGUUAUCCGGAUUUAUUGGGUUUAAAGGGUGCGCAGGCGGAGGUGCAAGUCAGCGGUCAAAUUGCGGGGCUCAACCCCGUACUGCCGUUGAAACUGCAGCCCUUGAGUGCGCGAGAAGUAUGCGGAAGGCGUGGUGUAGCGGUGAAAUGCAUAGAUAUCACGCAGAACUCCGAUUGCGAAGGCAGCAUACCGGCGCGCAACUGACGCUCAUGCACGAAAGCGUGGGUAUCGAACAGGAUUAGAUACCCCGGUAGUC
This 459-nucleotide ribosomal RNA is filed under the name uncultured bacterium. RNAcentral's name for it is "partial 16S ribosomal RNA". It matches the Rfam family "Bacterial small subunit ribosomal RNA", at positions 338 to 795 of the family's 1533-position model. The record is from RNAcentral.